Long non-coding RNA from Rattus rattus (black rat), 657 nucleotides. RefSeq lists it as uncharacterized. NCBI's taxonomy places the organism in Eukaryota, Metazoa, Chordata, Mammalia, Rodentia, Muridae. The transcript has 2 exons. The record is from RefSeq and is a predicted model, not a curated record.
UUGGUCAGGGUUAGAUAGUUCUGAUAGUGGUUUUAGAUGAGAUUUCACUUGAAAUUUGUGGACUCUUACUAACUCUUAUUUCCCCUCUGUGCCAGGUCUGGCAUGGCCACAGAAGGAAGGGAUGGUGUGAUACUGUUCCCAGUCCUGCAGCAGAGCCAGUAUGACAUGGGACUUCUUGAGUGCUGAAAGUUACUGUAGGCCUAAGGGGCUCCCAGCUAAGCAUUUGCAUCGAGUCUCAGAAAAGACCUUGGACUUGGACUUCUGAACAACAUUGAAACUGUCAAUAUUUGGAGGACUCUAGGAGACAGUCUAUGUACAGUUUGCACUGUGAGAUGGCCGUAAACUUUUCUGGGCUAAGAGUAGAAUGCUAUCAUUUGAAAAUGAAAAUGAAAUGUCCCUUCAAGCUCAGGUUUUAAACCAUUGGUACGCAGUUUAGGAGGUGCUAGAACUUAGCUAGAGAAUGUAGCUCACUGGAUAUGGACGUUUGACGACCAUAACCAGCAUGGGGUCUCUCCACCUACUGUUUGCCAUCCACCAUGAGGUAAGUAGUUUCUGUCACAUAUUCCUGCUGCAUGAUAUUUUGCUUCAUCCAGGUUUAUCUAGAACUAAUAAAGUCAGACCAUGCACACAGCCAAAAUAAAUAAUUCCUUCUGCUGA